This 209-nucleotide ribosomal RNA is filed under the name uncultured bacterium. Its description in RNAcentral is "partial 16S ribosomal RNA". It matches the Rfam family "Bacterial small subunit ribosomal RNA", at positions 568 to 774 of the family's 1533-position model. The record is from RNAcentral.
CGCGUAGGUGGUUAAUUAAGUCAAAUGUGAAAUCCCCCGAGCUUAACUUGGGAAUUGCAUUCGAUACUGGUUAGCUAGAGUAUGGGAGAGGAUGGUAGAAUUCCAGGUGUAGCGGUGAAAUGCGUAGAGAUCUGGAGGAAUACCGAUGGCGAAGGCAGCCAUCUGGCCUAAUACUGACACUGAGGUGCGAAAGCAUGGGGGAGCAAACA